Molecule: ribosomal RNA, 350 nt
Filed under: uncultured bacterium
Lineage: Bacteria
Description: bacterial SSU rRNA
Rfam family: Bacterial small subunit ribosomal RNA
Source: RNAcentral
AUUGAACGCUGGCGGUAGGCUUAGCACAUGCAAGUCGUGCGAGAAAGUAUCUUCGGAUAUGAGUAGAGCGGCGGACGGGUGAGUAACGCGUAGGAAUCUACCUAGUAGAAGGGGAUAGCCCGGGGAAACUCGGAUUAAUACCGUAUACCUCCUUCGGGAGAAAGAAGGCCUCUCUUUGAAGCUUUCGCUAUUAGAUGAGCCUGCGUAAGAUUAGCUUGUUGGUGAGGUAAAGGCUCACCAAGGCGACGAUCUUUAGCGGGUCUGAGAGGACGAUCCGCCACAUUGGGACUGAGACACGGCCCAGACUCCUACGGGAGGCAGCAGUGGGGAAUAUUGGACAAUGGGCGCAA